GUCCACGCCCUAACUAUGGAUACUCGACAUACGCGAUACACAGUGUGUGUCUGAGCGAAGCAUUAAGUAUCCCACCUGGGAAGUACGAUCGCAAGAUUGAACUCAAAGGAAUUGGCGGGGUCCGGCACAAGCGGUGGAGCAUGUGGUUUAAUUCGAUGAUACGCGAGGAACCUUACCUGGGCUAGAAUGCUGGGAGACCGUGGGUGAAAGCUCAUUUGUAGCAAUACACUGCCAGUAAGGUGCUGCAUGGCUGUCGU
Molecule: ribosomal RNA, 257 nt
Filed under: uncultured bacterium
Lineage: Bacteria
Description: partial 16S ribosomal RNA
Rfam family: Bacterial small subunit ribosomal RNA
Source: RNAcentral